UUUUUCUUUCUUUUCAGAAAUGGCUAGUAAUUUAUCGCUCCACUUACUGUUUGACAGUGAUAAGCUUAUUGGACCCAAUUUCGAUAGUCAGUAUCGAAAGUUGAAUAUUGAUCUUAAACCCAAUCUAACUAAAAAGUUUAGGAUUGAAUCGAGUCAAGCAGACUAUGACCCAAAUAAACUAAAGAGAAAUGAGCAAUUAGUUACUGAUCAAGGUGCUUAUAUGAUAACACCUUGUAAUUUCUCUAUAUGUGACACUACUAUCUGGGUAUUGGAUACCAAAAAUCUAGUUCACAUAUAUAAUUCGUUGCAAGGACUUCAAG
Molecule: long non-coding RNA, 320 nt
Filed under: Elaeis guineensis (African oil palm)
Lineage: Eukaryota; Viridiplantae; Streptophyta; Magnoliopsida; Arecales; Arecaceae
Description: long non-coding RNA (EGUI_LNC048889)
Source: RNAcentral